Molecule: ribosomal RNA, 253 nt
Filed under: uncultured bacterium
Lineage: Bacteria
Description: partial 16S ribosomal RNA
Rfam family: Bacterial small subunit ribosomal RNA
Source: RNAcentral
UACGGGGGGGGCAAGCGUUGUUCGGAAUUACUGGGCGUAAAGGGUUCGUAGGUGGCCAACUAAGUCAGACGUGAAAUCCCUCAGCUUAACUGGGGAACUGCGUCUGAUACUGGUUGGCUUGAGUGCAGGAGAGGAACGCGGAAUUCCAGGUGUAGCGGUGAAAUGCGUAGAUAUCAGGAGGAACACCGGUGGCGAAGGCGGGUCUCUGGGCCGAUACUGACGCUGAGGAGCGAAAGCGUGGGGAGCGAACAGG